UACAGAGGGUGCUAGCGUUGUUCGGAAUCAUUGGGCGUAAAGGGCGUGUAGGCGGUUUGUUAAGUCAUGUGUGAAAUCCCUCGGCUCAACCGGGGAACGACGCAUGAAACUGGCAAGCUAGAGUACCAAAGAGGGGGGUGGAAUUCCCGGUGUAGCGGUGAAAUGCGUAGAGAUCGGGAGGAACACCGGUGGCGAAGGCGGUUCUCUGGGCCUGUUCUGACGCUGAGGAGCGAAAGCGUGGGGAGCGAACAGG
Molecule: ribosomal RNA, 253 nt
Filed under: uncultured bacterium
Lineage: Bacteria
Description: partial 16S ribosomal RNA
Rfam family: Bacterial small subunit ribosomal RNA
Source: RNAcentral